RNAcentral lists this ribosomal RNA (497 nucleotides) under uncultured bacterium. RNAcentral's name for it is "partial 16S ribosomal RNA". It matches the Rfam family "Bacterial small subunit ribosomal RNA", at positions 28 to 507 of the family's 1533-position model. The record is from RNAcentral.
GAUGAACGCUGGCGGCGUGCCUAAUACAUGCAAGUCGAGCGAACGGACGAGAAGCUUGCUUCUCUGAUGUUAGCGGCGGACGGGUGAGUAACACGUGGAUAACCUACUUAUAAGACUGGGAUAACUUCGGGAAACCGUAGCUAAUACCGGAUAAUAUUUUGAACCGCAUGGUUCAAAAGUGAAAGACGGUCUUGCUGUCACUUAUAGAUGGAUCCGCGCUGCAUUAGCUAGUUGGUAAGGUAACGGCUUACCAAGGCAACGAUGCAUAGCCGACCUGAGAGGGUGAUCGGCCACGCUGGAACUGAGACACGGUCCAGACUCCUACGGGAGGCAGCAGUAGGGAAUCUUCCGCAAUGGGCGAAAGCCUGACGGAGCAACGCCGCGUGAGUGAUGAAGGUCUUCGGAUCGUAAAACUCUGUUAUUAGGGAAGAACAUAUGUGUAAGUAACUGUGCACAUCUUGACGGUACCUAAUCAGAAAGCCACGGCUAACUACGUG